This 467-nucleotide RNase P RNA is filed under the name Bacillota bacterium. RNAcentral describes it as "RNase P RNA component class A". It matches the Rfam family "Bacterial RNase P class A". From Rfam's summary of the family: Ribonuclease P (RNase P) is a ubiquitous endoribonuclease, found in archaea, bacteria and eukarya as well as chloroplasts and mitochondria. The record is from RNAcentral. Lineage: Bacteria; Bacillati; Bacillota.
UGAGUAAACCAGGUGAUCGCGGAUUGGCGUUUCAGCAUUACCGGUGCUUCCGUUAUUGGAUAAGGCCGGAGCGCUCUGACCCCUUUCUUGGGGACGAUCAGCGGCGGCUGAGGGCUGAUCUGAGGAAAGUCCGAGCUCCACAGGGCAAGGUGCUGGGUAACACCCAGUGAGGGCAACCUCAAGGAAAGUGCCACAGAAAGAUACCGCCUGGUUGGGAAAUGAGGGGGGACGGUAAGCCGCACCUCCUCACUUCCCAAUUGGGUAAGGGUGCAAUGGCGGUGUAAGAGACCACCGGCGGCCGGGCGACCGGCUGGCCAGGUAAACCCCACCCGGAGCAAGACCAAAUAGGGGAAGGAUGAAGCGGCCCGCUGAGCUUCCCGGGUUAGGUCGCUAGAGGCGUAAGGCAACUUACGUCCCAGAGAAAUGAUCACCCACGACAGAACUCGGCUUACCGGUUUACUCAUUAA